RNAcentral lists this unclassified non-coding RNA (396 nucleotides) under Bombus terrestris (buff-tailed bumblebee). Its description in RNAcentral is "misc RNA ENSBTSG00005037352.1". Lineage: Eukaryota; Metazoa; Arthropoda; Insecta; Hymenoptera; Apidae. The record is from RNAcentral.
GUGUCGCGGAGGCACAUAUACUGCUGACAACUGGAAGUAGUUGCUGCUAGUUUGAACUGUGACGGUGGUUGCUUGUAAAUAUUCUUUGUUAACUUGGCUGUGUAGAUAAUGUUUGAUAUCGUUUCUGACUAUCACUGCUGUCCCUCCGUGAGCUUUUCCUGAGGGGUGUUUGGUAUCAUAUAUGGUGCAGUAUGGUAUUUUCAUGUAGCUUUUUGUAGUGAAGUGUGUUUCUGAGACAAGUAGUAUGUCUAUAUUGUUACUGUAUAUGAAUGUUUUAAUUUCGAGGGCCCGUUGUUGUAGGCCGCUUGAGUUCCAGGCUGCUAUUUUUAGAGUGUCCGUUUUUUAUUUUUUGCUUAGCACGUUUGUAAUUAGUUGUAGCAUGACUGUGAUUUGUUG